RNAcentral lists this ribosomal RNA (369 nucleotides) under uncultured Psychrobacter sp. RNAcentral's name for it is "bacterial SSU rRNA". It matches the Rfam family "Bacterial small subunit ribosomal RNA", at positions 449 to 813 of the family's 1533-position model. Lineage: Bacteria; Pseudomonadati; Pseudomonadota; Gammaproteobacteria; Moraxellales; Moraxellaceae. The record is from RNAcentral.
CUCUUCGGUUAAUACCCGGAGACGAUGACAUUAGCUGCAGAAUAAGCACCGGCUAACUCUGUGCCAGCAGCCGCGGUAAUACAGAGGGUGCAAGCGUUAAUCGGAAUUACUGGGCGUAAAGCGAGCGUAGGUGGCUUGAUAAGUCAGAUGUGAAAUCCCCGGGCUUAACCUGGGAACUGCAUCUGAAACUGUUAGGCUAGAGUAGGUGAGAGGGAAGUAGAAUUCCAGGUGUAGCGGUGAAAUGCGUAGAGAUCUGGAGGAAUACCGAUGGCGAAGGCAGCUUCCUGGCAUCAUACUGACACUGAGGCUCGAAAGCGUGGGUAGCAAACAGGAUUAGAUACCCUGGUAGUCCACGCCGUAAACGAUGUC